AGACCGCGUCCGUUGUGAGGCCUCCCCCGCUGCCCCUCAGGCCCAGCACUCACGGGACUUCCCUGGCUGCCUUGUUAAACGCAGAUGCUGAUGGCCCACAUCUGGGAAGGGCCUGGAGUUCUGCAUUCCUAAUAAGUUUCUGGGGAUACAUGGAGGCUAUUGGCCUCUGGAUAAUAUCUGAAGUAGGGAGAUUUUUAUUUCACUGCAAUAUUACUUAUUUGGCAUUUAUUAAACAGUUUAAUGACAGUGACAUUUAAAAAAAUUCAUAUUCAGCAUUUUUAUUCCGUGUUUUUGUUUUUUUUUUUUUUUCAAAAGUAGCCAGGAAACCAGGCUAUGAAAGAGCCAUCAUCGUCUGUGACGAAAGAGCUGAGAGUCUGAUCCAUCACAGUUCAUGCCUGGGAAAUAAUCUAGCGACUGCUGAGGCCGGCAAGGAGCUGAGGCCAAACCAGACGAAUGCCAGAGAACAUGCUAAUCUGAAAGGAAGUCCCACACAGCGACACACACACACACACGCACACACACACACACACACCACGGCACACAAGCACACACGCGAGGCUCUGAUGACGCUUCAAGGAGGAAAAGCAAACUUUCCGACUUCAUUUGGCUACACAGCCCUUCAGGGGAGCGAAUUACAGUAAAUCUAAAAGUAAGCCCUGGUGUGCUUUUUCCUUACAUGCAUAAAAGCCUUCUCUUUUCUACCUGCCUAGGGAACAAUAUAAUCCAACAGGCACAUCUUGCCUAAUUUUGUUUGUAGGACCCAGAGACACUCAGGGCAGAAGGAGUUCCCCAGAUUGUAGCUUUUUGCUUAAAGAUCAAACUCAAGGAAAGUUAUUUUUAUACCUCGUGGGUUCUUUUUUUAAAAUUCUUCUCCUCCUUCCAACUGCCUGGUAUUUAUCUUCACAAUUAGGGGGUUUGUCUUGUUAAACAAAGUAUCUGUUUUUCUUUCCUUGAUUAUAAAAGAUAGACACGUUCACUGGAGAAAAUUAGAAACCAUGAAAAAAGGCAGAAAAAAAUGCUAGCUGCCAUUCAAAGCUAGUGAUGGUUAGUGCUUCCAUGCGUCCUCUUCUAGUCUCCUUUUCUGGGUUUCUUUUAAAUUGUGAAGUCUUUACCGUGCAUUUUCGCUGGUGUCCCCCCGCACGCGCUGUGGAAUACUUCCAAUAUGGAGCAGAGUGUACUGACUCAUCAUAGAGCACCGCCCAUCCCAUCGUGUCCUGCCCCGUGCUCCUUGUCGGUCGCUUAUCAAUCACUCCUUUGCAUUUCUGCAUUCUUCCC
Molecule: long non-coding RNA, 1275 nt
Filed under: Oryctolagus cuniculus (rabbit)
Lineage: Eukaryota; Metazoa; Chordata; Mammalia; Lagomorpha; Leporidae
Description: lncRNA (ENSOCUG00000036796.1)
Source: RNAcentral